This 253-nucleotide ribosomal RNA is filed under the name uncultured bacterium. Its description in RNAcentral is "partial 16S ribosomal RNA". It matches the Rfam family "Bacterial small subunit ribosomal RNA", at positions 524 to 776 of the family's 1533-position model. The record is from RNAcentral.
UACGGAGGGGCCUAGCGUUGUUCGGAAUUACUGGGCGUAAAGCGCACGUAGGCGGCUUUGUAAGUCAGGGGUGAAAUCCCGGGGCUCAACCUCGGAACUGCCUUUGAUACUGCAAAUCUCGAGUCCGGAAGAGGUGAGUGGAAUUCCUAGUGUAGAGGUGAAAUUCGUAGAUAUUAGGAAGAACACCAGUGGCGAAGGCGGCUCACUGGUCCGGUACUGACGCUGAGGUGCGAAAGCGUGGGGAGCAAACAGG